CCCGGCGACCGGCGCACGGGUGAGUAACACGUAUGGAACCUGCCCGCAGCAGGGGGAUAAGCGGAAGAAAUUCCGUCUAAUACCGCGUAACACCGCGGAGGGGCAUCCCUCGGCGGUUAAAGAUUCAUCGGCUGCGGAUGGCCAUGCGGCGCAUUAGCUAGUCGGCGGGGUAACGGCCCACCGAGGCGACGAUGCGUAGGGGUUCUGAGAGGAAGGUCCCCCACACUGGUACUGAGACACGGUCCAAACUCCUACGGAAGGCAGCAG
This 267-nucleotide ribosomal RNA is filed under the name uncultured bacterium. RNAcentral's name for it is "partial 16S ribosomal RNA". It matches the Rfam family "Bacterial small subunit ribosomal RNA", at positions 87 to 354 of the family's 1533-position model. The record is from RNAcentral.